Molecule: non-coding RNA, 3101 nt
Organism: Meleagris gallopavo (turkey)
Lineage: Eukaryota; Metazoa; Chordata; Aves; Galliformes; Phasianidae
Source: RefSeq, a predicted model, not a curated record
GAUUCUAUUUUAUGUAAGUUCAAUGCUUUUCAUCCUCAGUUUUCUCUAAAAAAGAGUUUCACAUGGUGACGGUGAGGCAAAAAAAAAUAGUAAACUCUGUAUGUCCCUGCAUAUUGUUAAUGUGACACAAAAACUGUCUCUAUUGCAGAGAUCUUGAACAAACACCAUGUCACCAUGUUUAUACAAAGAGGCUGUCAGAUAUGUGGAAAUCUUAGCUGAAAAAUAAUUGAUCUGUUAUUGUCUACUACUCUUCAACAUACUGGGUGCCAAAGUUACCAUUCCCUUAGCAGAAAUGACAGAACAAUUCAGUAUGUCCACACUUCAUCAGAACAAAUAUGUCUUGUUGGUUCCCCCUUUAAGAGAUCAUUAACACACAUGCAAAGAAGGAAGAAACAACAAAGCCUUUCCUCUUUCAGUAUGAGGAUGCCCAACCACUCUACUCAUCUGGCUGUCAAGAGUGGGCUUUGCUUCUUACUUCUUCAGUUCUUUUCUAGGUCUUGCCAAAAAGUCUCUUGUUUUCUGUAAAGAUUAAAAGUGUAACAAUUUCUUGCUACUCAUCAGCCUAUCAUUGGAUGAAAAUUCCCUCAUUUUCUUCCAAAUUCUCUGAUAUGUGGAGUACAUUCAUUUAUCUAGAGGGUGAUGGAGACUCCUUUUCAAAAAAUUGAGGUAAGUCCUGGAAAAGACACAACUUAUAGUAAAUUCAAGUUGCCAGAGAAGUUUGAUCUUCAGUGUGGUUUACUUUUUGUUAUCUGUUAUCAGGAGAGGUAAUUUGUGUUUAAAAGUGAAGGCUUUCAGGGCUAGCAAAGGAACUGAAGAAACUCAGGAACUGCUGAGUGAGCAGAGAUGAAAUCUCACUGGAUUGCCCAGCCAGUAAAAGCUAAGGUGGUGAGGAAAUGACUGCAUUCUCUAAGGAGGGGAGAAAGAGAACUGAAAGGGCCGCAAUUACACAAGAAAUGUGUAUGAGCUGACCGCAUACAAAUUUUGGCUGUCAACAACAGGAACUACAGAUAAAAAAGGAGCUCAGGAGUACUAUCUAAGAGGAGAAGAGUGGACAGAAACAUCCUUGUUUUAAGCUGGACUUUCACGUUGUUGGGAAGGAUUUUCUUAGAUGAUUGUUAGCAGUACGAAAAUUAUGGCCUUCAUGGCUGAGAUUGUUUGAUCUGAUCUUCUGAUUCACAGAGAAUGUCUUCUAGGACUUCAAGAGUGUGAACACCACACAACUUUUAAAUGCUUUCUGCGGUGGUAUCCCACUUCCUGUUCAAUCCCUCUUAAAUUUCUGCCAGUGCUUGUAAGACUCUUUGGAAUUGAGACUGUCCACUUAGAUGCUUAGUCUGCACCAAAUCCCUCAGCUGCUAUUGCUAUAAGUAAUACAGAGUACUACUAAUGCUCUGUAUCAUUAGGUAAACUUAGUAAAGAACAAAACAAACUUUCUGUGUGGGACUAAUUCUGAACUGAAGUGCAAAUGACUUGUUAGUAUUAAAUUAUAAGUAAAUUAUAAGUCCUUGUGCUCUCCUUUCUUCUUUAAAAAAAAAAAAUAAUAUAUAUAUAUUAUUUUAUUUUUAUUUUUUAUUUUUAUUUCUCUAAAACAGCAAAUUGCUAAGUUGUUCCACUUUAUAGACAACCACACAGCCUUGGCAAAUGCCGAUAAUGAUGUCACCUUUCAUAAUCUGGAAAAUAACUUUUUUUUUUUCCCAACUUAGAUGCAGUGUGUGUUUUCUUUGCUCUUUGUAUGAAAUAGAGUGUGUGAGCAGAUCACAAGGCCAGACCUUCACUCAUUUUCAACCAGAGUGAUCAUACAUAGGAACACAGAGUUCAAAUUCAUUCUCUGUAACUCAUGAUAUUAAACUAUUUUGAACGGAACUGCAAAAGAAGGAGAUGCAAUUUGAUUUUUAUCCUAUCAAAUCUUUCACCAAAUGUUGGAUUAUCUGAACGAAGGGCGAUCCUUUGUUCCUUUGCAAAUGGAGCCAUUGAAAUGGUCGCUAAGUUUACCACGUUCUGCCCUCCAUCAUCUCCCACCCUGCAGGCUCAGCAGCAGCAGCUAGCUUGAAAACAAGAACUUACGAAUGAGAAAAGGGUGGAGGACUUCCUCCUAAGGCAAAGCUGUAUUUCUCCAAGAACCUCCUGAGUAUAAUAACAUUAACAAAUACGUGAGUUGAGAUAUUGUCACCUCUUUCAUGUGUCUGUCCAUACUUUUGUUAAUAAUUUUGCUUAAACUAUUGUCCUGGCUUCAAUUUCAAGUCAUUUUACUUUAAUUCACUGUACGCCUUUUAACCAGGCUCUGAGCACUUUGGAGUUAAUCUAGGGUGUUUUGAUCAGACAGUAAUUGCCAUAAAGCUUUCCCUAAACUUUUCAGACAUUGAACUGGUAUUUUUACAGUCAAUGUUGAAUCUCUGCUGGUUGUAAUCCACAGCAGUGCACCUGGAUGCAAUUGUGCUUGUAAAACUAAACUUGACUGAUGUGUUUCACUUAGUGAGGACUCCAUUUGUUUCAUUGUAAAAAUUAGAGAGUGAUUCAGCAUUCAUGAGAAAACGUGGCAACAAAAGGUUAGCUGAACAGUAGUAGGAGUGGAGCCAUAUUGGGAGCAAUUGAAGGAGGAAAUGGUCUGGAUUUAUUGUCUGCAUUAAAGAUAUUGUGGGUCCCAUGGAUACCAGGAGUGUCAUGGAGACACAGCUAAUAGGAUUUUUAUUGGAUUAUUGUCGGGCUGUUGCACCUGCUUAUAAUGAGGAUGAUGUAGUUGAAUUUCUGGCACAACCCUUGAACAAGGAAUCAGAAAGGAGCUGAGAGAGCUGGAAGCUCUAAUAUUAAUUUUGAAGGAAAAAUUUACAAUUGCCUGAAAGCCAUUUCGAGCAAGCCAGCAGAACUGGGUAGCCUUUCUGUCUCUUUACAUAUACUAAUGUGUAGAAAAUACAUAGGUCAUUUCAGAAAUAAUGCCCAUUUAUUUCCAUGGAAACUACAACAGGUACAAAGAGCACAAUAACACUAUUUGAUAUACAAAAUUCUCAGCUACAAAAGACCAUUCUUCAAAACAGUCACCACAACCACCACCAACUUUGCAUUUUCACCAGCAAUGAAAAAGAGCCUGCAUGCUUCUCUCGUAAAAA